GCCUGUGCUGACCCACAACCUUCACCUCUGGUGGUAUCCUCCCGGCCCCAGCAACCUGCACCUCCAGCCCCCAGCAUCGCCCGACACCUUCUUUCAGCACCUAUUCUUCCUGUGGAUGCCCUACCGCAUGUGGGCCUACAAGCUCUCCUGCCCGUCGUGCAGCCACAGGUUGUUGGGAGCUGGACGACUCUACAGGACUGGAGGGUCCUGGACACAGAUGGAUGGUACUUUAUGGCCACGAAGAACCUGGAGUGCUGGCGCUGCAGGAAGCAGGCUGGUCGCACAAUAUCCUGGAUUAGCUGGACCCUGCCCAUCGGGAUGAGUUUCCAGUCAUCCUGACUUACAGGUCAGACAAGAGGUCUCCAAUGGCCAGGUCAACUCUCCAGAGGUAGGCAGGCACACACGGGCAGCCCUGAUGUCUCUGUUCUCUCUAACAUAGGUUAUCCUGUGACAAGAAGCUCAUUGGGCAGAUGUGCAAGCGCACGCUGGGCAACGGGGCCAACCAGCUGCGCACAUAUCUGCUCGAUGAGCACACCAGGUCCUGGAUGUCACGGUUGCUGUUCGUGUACGCCAGGGAGGUGGCUUCGCGGCUAGAGGAGGCCAAGGCCCGGAUCACCUCCAUCUUUGGCUCAAUCUUGAAGAUGGACUCAACCAAGAAGCUUUGGACCUGACAAUGGCCAACCUGGUCAAUCUGGCUUGCAGUCUCGUGGAGCUCCAUCACCAUGCCUACGUGAUGCGGAGCCAAGUGAUGGAGAUCAUCGCCCUCUGGGUACGAUUGCUGGAGGGUGACAGGGCCCUGAUUCAGUUCCCGCUAUGGCACCAGGAAAGAUUGGUGAAGGUGCAGGGUCGGCCAAGGCAGCCAAGCUGUACAGAUGUCUAACGUUAACCGCCAUGUGGAGGCCAUUUGUAUCCAGCUGUCCAGGAUAAACCCCAUGGGAACCAUCAUCUGCGGUGUGAGGGUGAACCACUGGGCAGCCAUCAUGAGGGAUUACAUUAGCAUUCAAAAGAAAUGUUCUCACAAACCCGGUACUCCUGGCCCAGACACGUAUUUAGCUCUUCCCCCUCAAUCAGCACAAUGCUAAGUACACACUAGACGAGUGGGGUCCCCUUUGCCCCAUCCUUCCCUAUCUGACUUCCUUUGCUUUGUGUUCCUGCAGGCACUACACUCACACCAGGGACCUGGUACGCCAGGCUCUGGAGAAGGCUGUGUUGUUGCCGAGCACCUUGGCCGUGGCUUCAGAGCCCACCCCUGCCGUGCACCCGUGGCCCAUGGACCCAAAGCAGUCCACCACACAGGAUUUUUUUGUUCCCUGAAUUUCCAGAUCUGUUCCGUCAGGUGACACUUUGAGCUUGGGGCUCUGUGGAUGCAGCACCAUCCUUCAUUGGGCAUCCCCCCCUCCCCAAUCCCAUAUGAAGCAUCCACCACCCAGCCACUCCCCCUGCCAGCCAACACUGCUGUUCCUCCGCUUCCACCGCCACAACCUCCUGUACCCCGCACCACUACCUGGCGGCACAGGAAGAAGCAGGAGGUGGAGGAGCUGCUGCACCAGCAAGGUAUUCCCCCCUCAAACAAAGGAAGAAGGUGGAGGGCUUUGUUUGCCAGCGCUGUGGCUGUCCUAAAACGAAGGAGUUCAGUCACAGGUGCUUUGGGGGAAUCCUUUUGCUUCAUUGUGGCUGGCAAAAGUGUACAGGAGUGGCUGAAGGAAUAAAGGAGGGAGAAUCAUGAUAGUGUUGUCGGGGGGGAUGAAUGCCCAUUAAAGGCUUUUUUUAAAUUUUAUUUAUUUAAUCUGUAGUUGGGCCCACACUUAACAUUUUUUAGUUCACAAGGAUGCCUGCUUAAGGUUUUGUUAAUCUGUAUAAGUGACUGGCACUUUAUAUUUUGGCAGGCCUCCUCCUCUCAAUUUUCUUUUUUAAUUUUAGGCUUCAUCUGCAGGUUAUGACACUGACUGAAAACCUUUUGUUUUCUAAUUAUUGAUUUAUUUAUUUAAACAAUAUAUUUAUUGUAAAUAACUGCCUUUUGUAUUCUGUUUAAUGUAUGUAUGUAGUUUUCCUAAACCUUGGAUUGUUGUUUGAUAUUUAUUUAUUGUAUGCACAUAGUUAUUUAUUCAUAAACUUUGGAUUGUUGAGUGAAUCGUUGUGUCUGUCUGCACGCCACACCGAUUGGGUGUCCACCACUUUAAGGGCGCUCUAUUUGUCUUCCCGCGGCCACGUCGCCCUGCUCCGCCGGCAGCCCUCUUUCUUAACGAAGAUUGGCUUACAUUUUUUGCAGAGUGUGUACUCUCCAUCUUUGUCUUCUCUUUCCAUCUCUAAAGAUGUACUCACCAUACUGUAUCCAGAACUGUGUCAGAAUGUAAAGGAAGGCCCACUCUUCACCACACCAUUACAUGCAUCACUUUUGCGACAAGUGCAAAGGUGGCUUCAACAUGUACUAAAUGUAUGAAAAUUUCUCUCGGUAUACCACCCACUUACCACUGCUUUAAGGCAAUGAAUAACACGACAGAAAAAUCUAAUUUCCAAUUUCCUUUUAAAUUGAACACUCUGUAUUUUAUAUUUAAAUAUGUGCCAGUUUUCCACUGAUUUUUAGCAUACUGGUAAAAUGAUUUUAUAAAAUAUAUGCCAGAACAAGAAAUCAUCCAGUAUACCAGAUCAACCAGCAAUUCACCCAUUCCUAUCUGGAGUUACAAUUAAUGAAAUUAUGCUUUAUGUGGAAAUAUAAUAUUGUGAUUUAGAAAAUCUGAAUGUUCUCAUUAAUAGAAAUUAAAUUAAAUUGUGAUUGUGUCUAUUCACUCCUCUAAAAACAAAAUGAUUACUCAUGGAGUGCUUAAAAGACUUUAAAUACAAGGCAAUGAUUUAAAUUUCUAAUCAAAAGACAUCAGAUCUCUCUAGUUCAAGAAAUACUCCACCACAAAUAAUAUGUUUUGAAUCUGUUACUUCCUCUCCAUGUAUGUAGUCACAGUCAAGAAAACGGAUUGUCAUAAUUUCAUAUAUAACAGAAAUCACAAAAUAUUUGAUUUGGUUUCAAUGCAGGCCCAGCUUGAAAAGCAGCAAACAAUAUUAAACGUCUAUGAAAAAAACUAAAACAAAAUAAACAUUUGGUAUUGUUCAAAAUGGGUCACCAUUCAAGUCCACUGCAUCAGGAAUUUUGUCAUCUCAUUUUCCUGUGAAAAUGUGACAUUGAAAGUUUUUAUCUAACAUCUCUACAAACACUCAGUGCGUUUACAUACACAUAUAUUACGGUAGAAGCUUAGUUUCUUAAUAAUCUGCACUUACAUGUGCAAAUAGUUUUCUAGAGCUCUCCUAUGGCAAACGCUCCAUCAUUAAAGUGAACAAAACAAAAAAAAAAAAAAAGAGUUAAACAGUAUCAUCGGCCACUGUGUAUUCGAAAAUAAGCAUGAAGCCUGUGAUCAUUUUUUUGUAUUUUAUAAUUAUGUUUAGUCAAAUUGAUGCUUUAUUUACUGUAUAGGUUUCUGUUACUGAACUGCCCACAAUACACUCUUUUCUGCCUGGCUGUGCAACUGAGCCCUGCUGAUGGAAUAAUAACAAUGCAGGUAUUUUACUUUCAGUAAGAUAUGCAUUAGGUUACUAAUUACUUUAAAAUAUAAUCUGAUUAUGUAGCACAUUACACUUAACAUGUUACCCUAUUGCUCUUGAGAUUUUGUUGCAGAUUUUAGCACUGUACAACAGCUCAUCAACAUAAAUUUAACAAUUUCUGAAGUGUUAAGACAAAUUACUUCAGCCAGGAGAAGGAAUAAUGCAAUCACUCAAACAUUUGCCUCUGGAAAUGUAUUCUGUGGACAUUUCUACCUGUGGCCGCUGAAAGUUUGUGCAAAGCAAUUA
Molecule: RNA transcript, 3837 nt
Organism: Polypterus senegalus (gray bichir)
Lineage: Eukaryota; Metazoa; Chordata; Cladistia; Polypteriformes; Polypteridae
Exons: 3
Source: RefSeq, a predicted model, not a curated record